UGGGGAAUAUUGCGCAAUGGGGGCAACCCUGACGCAGCAACGCCGCGUGAAGGAUGAAGGUUUUCGGAUUGUAAACUUCUUUUGUCAAGGACGAAGAAAGUGACGGUACUUGACGAAUAAGCCACGGCUAACUACGUGCCAGCAGCCGCGGUAAUACGUAGGUGGCAAGCGUUGUCCGGAUUUAUUGGGUGUAAAGGGAGCGUAGACGGAGCAGCAAGUCUGAUGUGAAAGGCAGGGGCUCAACCCCUGGACUGCAUUGGAAACUGUUGAUCUUGAGUACCGGAGGGGUAAGCGGAAUUCCUAGUGUAGCGGUGAAAUGCGUAGAUAUUAGGAGGAACACCAGUGGCGAAGGCGGCUUACUGGACGGUAACUGACGUUGAGGCUCGAAAGCGUGGGUAUCGAACAGGAUUAGAUACCC
This 418-nucleotide ribosomal RNA is filed under the name uncultured bacterium. Its description in RNAcentral is "bacterial SSU rRNA". It matches the Rfam family "Bacterial small subunit ribosomal RNA", at positions 355 to 787 of the family's 1533-position model. The record is from RNAcentral.